RNAcentral lists this ribosomal RNA (468 nucleotides) under uncultured bacterium. RNAcentral's name for it is "partial 16S ribosomal RNA". It matches the Rfam family "Bacterial small subunit ribosomal RNA", at positions 28 to 507 of the family's 1533-position model. The record is from RNAcentral.
GACGAACGCUGGCGGCGUGCUUAACACAUGCAAGUCGAACGGAAAGGCCCUGCUUUUGUGGGGUGCUCGAGUGGCGAACGGGUGAGUAACACGUGAGUAACCUGCCCUUGACUUUGGGAUAACUUCAGGAAACUGGGGCUAAUACCUGAUAGGAGCUCCUGCUGCAUGGUGGGGGUUGGACAGUUUCGGGGGUUGGGGAUGGACUCGCGGCUUAUCAGCUUGUUGGUGGGGUAGUGGCUUACCAAGGCUUUGACGGGUAGCCGGCCUGAGAGGGUGACCGGCCACAUUGGGACUGAGAGACGGCCCAGACUCCUACGGGAGGCAGCAGUGGGGAAUAUGGCACAAUGGGCGGAAGCCUGAUGCAGCAACGCCGCGUGCGGGAUGACGGCCUUCGGGUUGUAAACCGCUUUCGCCUGUGACGAAGCGUGAGUGACGGUAAUGGGUAAAGAAGCACCGGCUAACUACGUG